Long non-coding RNA from Prionailurus viverrinus (fishing cat), 538 nucleotides. RefSeq lists it as uncharacterized. The transcript is spliced from 3 exons. NCBI's taxonomy places the organism in Eukaryota, Metazoa, Chordata, Mammalia, Carnivora, Felidae. The record is from RefSeq and is a predicted model, not a curated record.
CAAGCGAAGGUCCUAAAACUGCAUUUGUCUUUGUUGGAUGACACAAAGAUUCAACUGAUUAUUUAGAAGAGGAUGGCCUUCCACAAAAAGAUUAUGUUAGCAAAGGAAACCUUGACUGAUGAUGCGUAUAGCACACAUAUAGGAACUAAUGACACCAUUAUAUUCAUAAUCAAGUUAUAGGUGAUGUGGAUAGAAACAGAAAUGAAUUUGACUCUUGUAUUAUGGAUGAAAAAAGAAUCUACUGAGCAAUGAAUGAUAUAGACCUGAUUAUAGAAUUCGUAAAACAAGUGAAAGCAUGACGUUUUCAAUGCCGGGAGCUUCUUUGAUGUGCCCUUUGAGACUGAUUUGCCCAAGCUAGGCUGCAACAGUCAGGUUUUACCGUGGAACCAGAGGCUCUAUCACCCCAGCUGCUACUAAGUAUAGUAAGCAGACUGAUAUGUGGCUGAGGAAGCAAACUUGAAGUGUCAGCCCAAUUACAUCCUAAUGGAAUAAAAAUGAGCUAAGAGGGAACAGGAGUGAGAAACAAAAGGACAUUAAA